Long non-coding RNA from Astatotilapia calliptera (eastern happy), 1939 nucleotides. NCBI's taxonomy places the organism in Eukaryota, Metazoa, Chordata, Actinopteri, Cichliformes, Cichlidae. The record is from Ensembl.
GCUCCCUUUUAACAGCAGGCUCAGCCUCGGGUUCAAUGCCGCUUAGCACACCUAAAACCUGAAGCAUGAGUGUAUAAAGAUGCAGUGAAGUAUCGCUGCAGUGGUCCCACCUCCUGCUGCUUAGGGGAUCAUAGAUGCUCCUGGAACACUUUUUAGUUUUAGGGGGAAAAAAUGAAUCUAUGGAUAACCACGUGUUGGCUAGCUCACUGGCUACAGCCUCCAUAGGCUGGUAUAUUAGUCACUUGUGCACUUGGCCACAUCUGCCCUGCCGUGUAUGAGCAGCCUGCUUGUGAAUGACACCACCAAUGCAAGCAUUCACCUUUCUGAGCUUUGUGGGUAUCGAGCCCGGAGAGCCGUGUGAGGUGCCCCGUCCUGUGCAGUCUGAUCGCUGCAGCAGGGGUACUGAAACCACAUAUUUGUGAAUGGGUACCAUCAAAGCACAACACAAACUGUAAGGUCUUACUCCAGCUUCUGUAUUUCUAGCAGAUCUUAAUGCCCAGUCUCAAUAGACGGACUUUCACAAUCUCAUUUUAAUAGCUUAGUGUUUCAUAUCUUAAACCAGUUUCCCCCUUUUCCUCAGCUGAGCCAUCCAGUGGGCCAGCCACACCCUGAUGGGUGUCCAACAAAAGUGAGUGACAUGUCAGUGUAGACGGAGCAGUGUCCAUUUUUAAUGAUUUCAUUUCUUAGCUGCUGGCAUAACGUUUGAUGACUGGGAUGAUGGUUUCUGGUGGAAAUGAAUAAAUAUUUAAACUUUUUCAGGAAGUUCUAUGAAAGUUUUAAGAAAAAUCAAAUAAGUGUCUUAGAACGUUUUCACCUUUUGCCGGGAUGUUUUCAGGGAAAUGAUUUGGAAACAACCAUCCCCCCGUAGACAGAUGUGCUCACGUGUGCAAAGUAACCAAAGUCUGUUUGUGUGAGGAGCGUAAAUGCAUCGCUACACGACUGGAGCCAACGUUCGAGCAAAUGAUUUGUUUCUGUGGGUCAGAGUGCUGCCGUUCCUCCUUUCCUCUGAAGGUUUGGCUGCUUCGACGUGGCUGCUGAGGUCUCUUGGAGAUGGACGAGCCCAUGUUUUCACCGCGUGGUUCCAGCUGCAGACUGCUGUAUUUGUGAUGAGACGACUUUGUUAUGGAUGUACUUGGAGAUAAAUCUGUCACUGAAUGAAACUUUAUUUCCUUCUGCAAAGAUCACAUUUGUUGAACAAAUGGAAAUGUACAUAAGAGUGUUAUUUAUGUUUGCUUGGCCAGCUCUUUUUCUUUCCCCCUCCACCCUCCUGCCGUCGCACUGAGCUGUAGACAGUGUCCAGUUUGUGUCUGUGGUUGAAGGUUAUCACAGGACUCGAAGGAAAAAUUGUCCCUUGAGAGCUCAGUUUGCAAUGUUUGCUCUACUUAAAGGUGCAAUAGAUGUCAACUUCUUUCUUUUUCUCUUUGUUUCUUGGGCUGUGAAUGUGCCCUCAAACGGCCGGUAGCGUAAUCUCUUAGCAGAAAUGUUUCAUGUCGGGGUUACUUUCAGCACAAUUUUUCUAAUCCAGGAACGAGGAUUUGACGCCCAGGGAAACUGGACUAUCUCUGAAACUGGGCAAGCACGGAUUCUGUAGAACAUCGGGCUAGCAUCUGAAGCCCCGCCCCCCAGGAAGAUUAGUUCACGGUGUCAGGCAGUGCGAUCGACUACUGAGCUGUCUUUCAGUGUGUGUAGCUUCUUUUUUUAUUUAAGUUCAUAUCUGUCUGAUGUGAACCAGAUGUGUUAAUUUAAUAAACUUUUUUGUAAGGUGUUCGUUGGAAGAAAGUCACAUUGCACUGACAUGAAAACGUGUACAUAAACAAAACGUGUUUUGUAAAUAAGCCAAUGAAAACUAUGUAUUUGAAUAUGAACUGUACAAAAUACUGUACCUGUAGUUGUGUAUAUGGAGUGAUCCUGUUGAUCUGUAACGAAAUACCCAAGCAAC